RNAcentral lists this ribosomal RNA (497 nucleotides) under uncultured bacterium. RNAcentral's name for it is "partial 16S ribosomal RNA". It matches the Rfam family "Bacterial small subunit ribosomal RNA", at positions 28 to 507 of the family's 1533-position model. The record is from RNAcentral.
GACGAACGCUGGCGGCGUGCCUAAUACAUGCAAGUAGAACGCUGAAGAGAGGAGCUUGCUCUUCUUGGAUGAGUUGCGAACGGGUGAGUAACGCGUAGGUAACCUGCCUUGUAGCGGGGGAUAACUAUUGGAAACGAUAGCUAAUACCGCAUAACAAUGGAUGACACAUGUCAUUUAUAUGAAAGGGGCAAUUGCUCCACUACAAGAUGGACCUGCGUUGUAUUAGCUAGUAGGUGAGGUAAUGGCUCACCUAGGCGACGAUACGUAGCCGACCUGAGAGGGUGAUCGGCCACACUGGGACUGAGACACGGCCCAGACUCCUACGGGAGGCAGCAGUAGGGAAUCUUCGGCAAUGGGGGCAACCCUGACCGAGCAACGCCGCGUGAGUGAAGAAGGUUUUCGGCUCGUAAAGCUCUGUUGUAAGUCAAGAACGGAUGUGAGAGUGGAAAGUUCACUCUGUGGCGGUAGCUUACCAGAAAGGUACGGCUAACUACGUG